RNAcentral lists this long non-coding RNA (391 nucleotides) under Ricinus communis (castor bean). RNAcentral describes it as "long non-coding RNA (RCOM_LNC002014)". The record is from RNAcentral. Lineage: Eukaryota; Viridiplantae; Streptophyta; Magnoliopsida; Malpighiales; Euphorbiaceae.
UUUUCCCUUACUAUUAAUACUAGUUUGGAAGGUGGGAAGACUGAGGCAGAAUCUGCACAGUGCUGAUUCUGUUUGGCUCUUGGAGCUCUCAGCCCGUGAUGGUGCCUGGUUUUGGUGGCUUUGGUAGAAACACGAACUGAGUGGCACUUUUUUUUUCCCUAUUUUUUGUAGUCUGUAAAUAUGCUCCAUUGGCUUCAAGUUUCAGGAGUGGUUAUUGUUGCUUUCUUCCUUAUCUUUUGUCUCUGUUUAUUCUUUUAUUAUGCAUACGAGUUCAUAUUCUGGUAAUUUGUCGAUGGGUAGCAAUGUGUAUGGAUGGGGCCGUAGAUAUUAUUUUGACUAUAAAAUUAAAUUUAUAGUAAGAUUUAAUAAAUUUUUAAUAUUUAGUAUUUAU